RNAcentral lists this ribosomal RNA (429 nucleotides) under Bacteroidota bacterium. RNAcentral's name for it is "Bacteroidetes bacterium partial 16S ribosomal RNA". It matches the Rfam family "Bacterial small subunit ribosomal RNA", at positions 355 to 776 of the family's 1533-position model. Lineage: Bacteria; Pseudomonadati; Bacteroidota. The record is from RNAcentral.
UAGGGAAUCUUCCGCAAUGGACGCAAGUCUGACGGAGCAACGCCGCGUGAGUGAAGAAGGAUUUCGGUUCGUAAAACUCUGUUGUUAGAGAAGAACAGCGCAUAGAGUAACCGUUAUGCGUGUGACGGUAUCUAACCAGAAAGCCACGGCUAACUACGUGCCAGCAGCCGCGGUAAUACGUAGGUGGCAAGCGUUGUCCGGAUUUACUGGGCGUAAAGCGAGCGCAGGCGGUCAAUUAAGUCUGAUGUGAAAGCCCCCGGCUCAACCGGGGAGGGUCAUUGGAAACUGGUUGACUUGAGUGCAGAAGAGGAGAGUGGAAUUCCAUGUGUAGCGGUGAAAUGCGUAGAUAUAUGGAGGAACACCAGUGGCGAAGGCGACUCUCUGGUCUGUAACUGACGCUGAGGCUCGAAAGCGUGGGUAGCAAACAGG